Misgurnus anguillicaudatus (oriental weatherfish) is the source of this 1202-nucleotide non-coding RNA. NCBI's taxonomy places the organism in Eukaryota, Metazoa, Chordata, Actinopteri, Cypriniformes, Cobitidae. The record is from RefSeq and is a predicted model, not a curated record.
CCGCAAGAUGCACUAACAUUCCUUCUGAUUUGUAAAUGAGCAUCAUUUGUAAAUGAGCGAUUACAAAAAAGUACCAUGAUUUUACCAUGGGGGAGAGCAUUCAGUUUUAGGUAAAUAAAAACGGAAAGUUUACUCUCAGUGAGGGAAUCCACCUGACAUCCGAGUGAAGCUGAUUAAAUGCGCUCUGCAAUAACAUGCUCUUGAUAAUUGUCAAUAAAAUAAAACGUCAUAUACAAAACACAUCAAAUAAAGUUUUAUACAUGGAAAAUAUCUCGUGUUUCGAGCACUCACGUGAUAGGUGCCUAUGCCGUACUGUACUGUACUGUAAACAAAGCUACAAUAAAUUACCCAGACAGCACGUUCAGUCUUACCGACGUUGGCAAUUGGAGGGCACCAGCGGCAAAGUGUCGGUUGGGGUUUUUCCCCUGCCCACAGAAUAAAAGUAGGUGGGUAAACGAUCGGCGCGAUGAGUCUGCAGCCCACUGCUCUCUGGAGAUCGGCGGAGGAACCGUGAGCAACCUUUUUGCAGAUCGCGCUUUUUUUCUUCACUAGAUCUACGCAGUUGUUGGACCACAUCAAGCCGGCAGUGUAAGCGCGAAGGUAAAUAUGAUGAAGGCAUGGCUUGGUGGCCUCCAGACCGCAUUUCGGCCACGGAAGUGUUGUUGUUCCCCAGUGGUUCUAACCUGUUAGCAACUCAGAAAGUUUAUUAAAAUGGGUUCCCAGCAUCAAAAUGUCUGGUUGUUGCGUUUGGUUGCACUUAUAAUAUACUAAUAUACGUAUAUAUGUAUCUGGCAACUUUAUAUUUGGCCAUCUGCUAACGUCUUCUAUCCACUCCACUAUAGUACACGGAUCUGGUAGAUUUGUUGAAAAAGUCGAUGAGUCAACUGCGUGCACCUACGUUGCCACAUCAUCAUUGUGUACAAAGACUAAAAGGGUCUACAAAGACUCAUACAAAAUACUCCAAAGUUUUUUCAAGAGGACAUCACCCAACCCAUCUAAAGGAUGGAAACAAUACUCUUGUUGAAUACUACAUGAGACAAACCAUCGUGACUUAGAUCACCAUCAACACCAUCAUCAUCCCCUGCAUCGUGCCCUUCAUCAGACACCCAAAAUGCACCACAAACAUCACAGGCGAAAAAGAAGAAAACGCACAACAAACCUUCCAAAACACCCUCCUACCUAUGGCUGGAAACAACAUAACA